RNAcentral lists this ribosomal RNA (517 nucleotides) under uncultured bacterium. RNAcentral describes it as "bacterial SSU rRNA". It matches the Rfam family "Bacterial small subunit ribosomal RNA", at positions 992 to 1509 of the family's 1533-position model. The record is from RNAcentral.
AGAACUUAGCAGAGAUGCUUUGGUGCCUUCGGGAACUCUGAGACAGGUGCUGCAUGGCUGUCGUCAGCUCGUGUUGUGAAAUGUUGGGUUAAGUCCCGCAACGAGCGCAACCCUUAUCCUUUGUUGCCAGCGGUUAGGCCGGGAACUCAAAGGAGACUGCCAGUGAUAAACUGGAGGAAGGUGGGGAUGACGUCAAGUCAUCAUGGCCCUUACGAGUAGGGCUACACACGUGCUACAAUGGCGCAUACAAAGAGAAGCGACCUCGCGAGAGCAAGCGGACCUCAUAAAGUGCGUCGUAGUCCGGAUUGGAGUCUGCAACUCGACUCCAUGAAGUCGGAAUCGCUAGUAAUCGUGGAUCAGAAUGCCACGGUGAAUACGUUCCCGGGCCUUGUACACACCGCCCGUCACACCAUGGGAGUGGGUUGCAAAAGAAGUAGGUAGCUUAACCUUCGGGAGGGCGCUUACCACUUUGCGAUUCAUGACUGGGGUGAAGUCGUAACAAGGUAAGCGUAGUGCU